This 442-nucleotide ribosomal RNA is filed under the name uncultured bacterium. Its description in RNAcentral is "bacterial SSU rRNA". It matches the Rfam family "Bacterial small subunit ribosomal RNA", at positions 958 to 1397 of the family's 1533-position model. The record is from RNAcentral.
AACGCGAAGAACCUUACCAGCCCUUGACAUCCCGGUCGCGGGAACCAGAGAUGGAUCCCUUCAGUUCGGCUGGACCGGAGACAGGUGCUGCAUGGCUGUCGUCAGCUCGUGUCGUGAGAUGUUGGGUUAAGUCCCGCAACGAGCGCAACCCUCGCCCUUAGUUGCCAUCAUUCAGUUGGGCACUCUAAGGGGACUGCCGGUGAUAAGCCGCGAGGAAGGUGGGGAUGACGUCAAGUCCUCAUGGCCCUUACGGGCUGGGCUACACACGUGCUACAAUGGCGGUGACAGUGGGACGCAAUGGAGCAAUCCUGCGCAAAUCUCAAAAAGCCGUCUCAGUUCGGAUUGUGCUCUGCAACUCGAGCACAUGAAGUUGGAAUCGCUAGUAAUCGCAGAUCAGCACGCUGCGGUGAAUACGUUCCCGGGCCUUGUACACACCGAUAGC